Molecule: RNase P RNA, 341 nt
Filed under: human gut metagenome
Description: Bacterial RNase P class A
Rfam family: Bacterial RNase P class A
About the family: Ribonuclease P (RNase P) is a ubiquitous endoribonuclease, found in archaea, bacteria and eukarya as well as chloroplasts and mitochondria.
Source: RNAcentral
GUGAAACAGGUGAUCGCGGCCAUUCAGACGAAAGGGAAUGGGUGAGGAAAGUCCGGGCUUCACAGGGCAGGAUGCCGGAUAACGUCCGGUGGAGGUGACUCCAAGGCCAGUGCAACAGAAAUAAACCGCCAUUUAUAUGGUAAGGGUGGAAAGGCAGUGUAAGAGACUACCGCCCUUAUGGUAACAUAAGGGGCACAUGUAAACCCCAUCCGAAGCAAGACCAAAUAGAAAGCGAUACAGCUGCCCGCUGUGCUUUCAGGUAGGUCGCUUGAGGCUGUUGGUAACAGCAGUCCUAGAUAGAUGAUCAUCCAACGACAUAACCCGGCUUAUCGUUUCGCUCA